CUUCGGGUUGAUAACUAGGCGGCGAUCUCGAUCUUCAAACGACGUCCGCCCUUUAAGUACCCGAUAUAUUGAGAUUUGUUUUUUAAACAAGGCGGAGAUCUUACAAGUUUCCGGAUUUUAUUUUUCUGUGUUUGGUGAACUUUUAAAUCUUCGUAACAUUG
Molecule: non-coding RNA, 161 nt
Organism: Aspergillus flavus NRRL3357
Lineage: Eukaryota; Fungi; Ascomycota; Eurotiomycetes; Eurotiales; Aspergillaceae
Source: Rfam